ACACAUUCCAGCCAAUCAGCAGCAGACCCUCCCUCCCAGACCCUCCCACCUCCUGGACAGCAUCCAUUUUGAAGCUGCAUUCUUAGUGAGCUGUCCAGGAGGUGGGAGGGUCUGGGAGGGAGGGUCUGCUGCUGAUUGGCUGGAAUGUGUCU
Molecule: non-coding RNA, 152 nt
Organism: Pelobates cultripes (western spadefoot toad)
Lineage: Eukaryota; Metazoa; Chordata; Amphibia; Anura; Pelobatidae
Source: the annotation of a GenBank genome assembly